GACGAACGCUGGCGGCGUGCCUAAUACAUGCAAGUAGAACGCAGUUGCGAACGGGUGAGUAACGCGUAGGUAACUGCCUGGUAGCGGGGGAUAACUAUUGGAAACGAUAGCUAAUACCGCAUACUACCAGAUGGACCUGCGUGGUAUUAGCUAGUUGGUGGGGUAACGGCUCACCAAGGCAACGAUACAUAGCCGACCUGAGAGGGUGAACGGCCAAACUGGGACUGAGACACGGCCCAGACUCCUACGGGAGGCAGCAGUAGGGAAUCUUCGGCAAUGGGGGGAAGCCUGACCGAGCAACGCCGCGGGAGUGAAGAAGGUUUUCGGAUUGUAAAGCUCUGUUGUUAAGGAAGCGGUACUUGAACAGAAAGGGACGGCUAACUACGUGCCAGCAGCCGCGGUAAUAC
This 407-nucleotide ribosomal RNA is filed under the name uncultured bacterium. RNAcentral's name for it is "partial 16S ribosomal RNA". It matches the Rfam family "Bacterial small subunit ribosomal RNA", at positions 28 to 526 of the family's 1533-position model. The record is from RNAcentral.